RNAcentral lists this ribosomal RNA (1041 nucleotides) under Salmonella enterica. RNAcentral describes it as "bacterial SSU rRNA". It matches the Rfam family "Bacterial small subunit ribosomal RNA", at positions 92 to 1129 of the family's 1533-position model. RNAcentral also lists the same sequence under 1 other name. The record is from RNAcentral. Lineage: Bacteria; Pseudomonadati; Pseudomonadota; Gammaproteobacteria; Enterobacterales; Enterobacteriaceae.
CGAGUGGCGGACGGGUGAGUAAUGUCUGGGAAACUGCCUGAUGGAGGGGGAUAACUACUGGAAACGGUGGCUAAUACCGCAUAACGUCGCAAGACCAAAGAGGGGGACCUUCGGGCCUCUUGCCAUCAGAUGUGCCCAGAUGGGAUUAGCUUGUUGGUGAGGUAACGGCUCACCAAGGCGACGAUCCCUAGCUGGUCUGAGAGGAUGACCAGCCACACUGGAACUGAGACACGGUCCAGACUCCUACGGGAGGCAGCAGUGGGGAAUAUUGCACAAUGGGCGCAAGCCUGAUGCAGCCAUGCCGCGUGUAUGAAGAAGGCCUUCGGGUUGUAAAGUACUUUCAGCGGGGAGGAAGGUGUUGUGGUUAAUAACCGCAGCAAUUGACGUUACCCGCAGAAGAAGCACCGGCUAACUCCGUGCCAGCAGCCGCGGUAAUACGGAGGGUGCAAGCGUUAAUCGGAAUUACUGGGCGUAAAGCGCACGCAGGCGGUCUGUCAAGUCGGAUGUGAAAUCCCCGGGCUCAACCUGGGAACUGCAUUCGAAACUGGCAGGCUUGAGUCUUGUAGAGGGGGGUAGAAUUCCAGGUGUAGCGGUGAAAUGCGUAGAGAUCUGGAGGAAUACCGGUGGCGAAGGCGGCCCCCUGGACAAAGACUGACGCUCAGGUGCGAAAGCGUGGGGAGCAAACAGGAUUAGAUACCCUGGUAGUCCACGCCGUAAACGAUGUCUACUUGGAGGCUGUGCCCUUGAGGCGUGGCUUCCGGAGCUAACGCGUUAAGUAGACCGCCUGGGGAGUACGGCCGCAAGGUUAAAACUCAAAUGAAUUGACGGGGGCCCGCACAAGCGGUGGAGCAUGUGGUUUAAUUCGAUGCAACGCGAAGAACCUUACCUGGUCUUGACAUCCACAGAAGUUUGCAGAGAUGCGAAUGUGCCUUCGGGAACUGUGAGACAGGUGCUGCAUGGCUGUCGUCAGCUCGUGUUGUGAAAUGUUGGGUUAAGUCCCGCAACGAGCGCAACCCUUAUCCUUUGUUGCCAGCGGUUAGG